This 476-nucleotide ribosomal RNA is filed under the name uncultured bacterium. Its description in RNAcentral is "partial 16S ribosomal RNA". It matches the Rfam family "Bacterial small subunit ribosomal RNA", at positions 28 to 507 of the family's 1533-position model. The record is from RNAcentral.
GAUGAACGCUAGCGGCAGGCCUAACACAUGCAAGUCGAGGGAGAAGCCUUUCGGGGCCGCAACCGGCGCACGGGUGCGUAACGCGUAUGCAACCUACCUUUCACAGGGGGAUAGCCCGAAGAAAUUUGGAUUAAUACCCCAUAAUAUUGUUGGAUGGCAUCAUCUGAUAAUUAAAACUGCGGUGGUGAAAGAUGGGCAUGCGUCCUAUUAGCUAGUUGGAGUGGUAACGGCACCCCAAGGCUACGAUAGGUAGGGGUCCUGAGAGGGAGAUCCCCCACACUGGUACUGAGACAGGGACCAGACUCCUACGGGAGGCAGCAGUGAGGAAUAUUGGUCAAUGGUCGGAAGACUGAACCAGCCAUGCCGCGUGCAGGAAGAAUGCCUUAUGGGUUGUAAACUGCUUUUAUAUGGGAAGAAUAAGGUGUACGUGUACAUUGAUGACGGUACCAUAUGAAUAAGCAUCGGCUAACUCCGUG